Doryrhamphus excisus (bluestripe pipefish) is the source of this 811-nucleotide non-coding RNA. The record is from RefSeq and is a predicted model, not a curated record. NCBI's taxonomy places the organism in Eukaryota, Metazoa, Chordata, Actinopteri, Syngnathiformes, Syngnathidae.
GAAGGGCGUACACUGCUGGGUCCCACGGCGCAGCAGCACACCAGGGCCUAUAGCAGGGAGUGCCGAGCAUGCUAAUGAGGUCAUUAUGUAUUGGCCUCUCUUUCCUUUACAGUGCGCCUGUCAGCGGAGGUUGGUAAUGAAGCCCUGCACAGAUGUCACAUAUGGCACAAUGCAGCAACAACGGCGGCGUCUCAGAAAUGGCGGGGCACAAGGAUUGGAUGGGAUAGGAGAGAGUGACAGCGGCGGUGCUCCGCUUCUCAGCUAGCAUCCGAAGCCAGAAAGCAGCAUUUGCAUAGAUCUGCUCUUUGACACCCCUGCACAACCUGAAUGGCCAUUGUUCCAUUGAAGGAAAAAUAUCAUGAUGGCACCCCCUCCACUGUGCAGUGUGGAACAUAUCAGAUGCCGUCUGAUGAUUAUUGGACUGCACUCGGCACCAGUAACAACCUUCAUUUGGGCUGAGGAUCUCCUGCAUCUUGACGGACAGCCAAUCGCAUCAUCCGGUUCAGAGAGAGUGAAAUGUUUUGGGAUCUCCAACUUGAUGUUUUUAUUCUAUAGCCCGUGGGAUCUUUUUAGAAGUUUUAAAUGACUGACUUACUGUGUCCAACCUCAGCAGCAAUGGCACGUUGCGACAGGCCUUGCUUAUACAGCUCAAUCCAUCAAUCCAAUGUUUUUUUUUUGUUUUUUGUUUACACUGAUGAACAGCCUAUUUCACUUUGAUGCUUGUUUUUUCAACAGUUCCUAAGAUUUUAAGCAGGAGUGUUUAUCAAACAAUGUCAAUGGAAAGCAAACAGACCUAUGCAGAUGAAAACAA